UGGGUAGCAACUUGGACGGCAGCUGCAUUGAUUUUUUUUUUUUAACCUCACUAUCUUCCUGUAUUCCUCUCCCUUUACGGGAGAGUGUACUGUACUCGGCUGGGCUUUGGUCACAUCCUCUGUUGUGUGACCCUAUUCCUGUAGAGAUGUAGACAAACAUCUACUCUCCCUAGUUGGGGAAUCAAGGACAGACCAAGCUAAAACUUCAAGUACAAUAUUGAAGAGAUAUGGAGAGGUGGACAGCCUUGUCUUGUUCCUGAUUUUAGAGGAAUCACUUUGAGUUUCUUUCCAUUUAGUUUGAUGUUGGCUUCUGAUUUGCUCCAAGAGAAGAUUGCAUAGUCCCUCCAAGAAGGGGAUGUGGACAAGAACCCCUGACCAAAGUAGCCUUCAUCCAGUAGCUGUUUGAAGCAGAAACAGGCACCCACAGCUAAGCAACCGAACCAUACUACUGGAAUCCAGUUGUGGAGAGGGAGGAGGGAUGCGCAAAGGAGCCAAGACGGGGCUGGAGAAAUGCACUGAAACAGUGGACCUGACCUACUGAUAGCAUGGAGACCUUAGUCAUAAAGCUGGGGAAACAACAUUGGACGGAACCAAGCCUUCUGAAUGUGGGUGCCAGCUAGGAGGCCAAGACAGUUUAUGGGACCUCUAACAGUAGAGCCAGUCUUUAACCCUAGAGCACAAUGGACUUUGGGAGCCCAUUCCCUAUGGAGAGAUACUGUUGCAGCCCAGAUACAGCAAGGAGGGCCUAGGCUCUCCCCCAAAUGAUAUGACAGACUUUGAAGGUUCCUCGUGGAGGGCUUCACUAUCUCUGGGGAGGAAUUGGGGGGUG
This 829-nucleotide long non-coding RNA is filed under the name Cricetulus griseus (Chinese hamster). RNAcentral's name for it is "lncRNA (ENSCGRG00015031216.1)". Lineage: Eukaryota; Metazoa; Chordata; Mammalia; Rodentia; Cricetidae. The record is from RNAcentral.